AAUGAAACGAAACUCCGGCUGAGUUGUUGUUACGUCGUCGAGAGAGUCGCGUGUUCAUGUGUCGCGUUCGCGUUCGCGUUCUGAUAUGUCCGUUGUUGCCACGGGCUUUGUUUGGUCGCAAUGCAUCAGCAGCAGCAGCAGCAGUUCUGACUGACUGACUGACAACAGAUAAACAAAUCGGCAAGCCGCGAAGUGUGUCUGAAAGUGCGUGUCGUUCAUUUAAACGUGUCCUGCCGCCGUUACGGCUAAUUACGUUAACAGGAGCAAACAACAACAAUAAAAAAGGAAAAAAUAAAUGAAAACAAAAAUCUGCAAAGAAAAAAAAACCUAAUAAAUCGUCAUGAGGCUAUUGUAUUGACAAAACAUAAGUGUUGCAUACUUUUCGCGUCGCGUGUUACUUAUUUAAUUAUUCGGUUCGUCGUCUAUCCCGUACGCCUCCUAACCGUUAAUAAAUCUCUGAUAUUCACCUCUAUUUCUAUCAUCUACGUGUGUGUGUGUGCUUGUGUAUAUUUUAUACUGCUCUGUACAUAUGUACAAUAUUUGUCGUCAUUAUCAUCAUCAUCAUCAUAGUUGUUGUUGUUGUUAUUUACUCGGCAUUCGUAUAAAGUAAAAAUAUAAAUAAUUUGUGUUCUUCGGUGUUGUCUCGUGUAAGUGUCUAUAAUUUGUUAAACUACGACAAGCGAUCGGCGAAAAGCAAAACCAAAGGCAAUCAUAAUAACAUUUAUCGAUAUCCAAUUACGAUAUGGCAAAUGUUCCAUUGUGUGCGCAUCGAUUUGAAUGUCAACUGCCUAAGCAAUCGUCUCCCCAACAACUCCAACAACGACAAGUACAACAACAACACCAACAGCAAGCAACCGUUCAACAACAAGAAGAAGAGAAGGCUAGAAACGCCUAGCAGCUGAAAAUUCUUCAAUUUCAAUUCCCAUUAUAACUAACUAAAUUCGGGAAUUUUACAACAAAAAUUGAUGAACUCUUGAAAAGGUAAAGUUCAACCUAAUCAGUUAUGUGAGAAUAAUUGAAAAUGUGUGUGGGUAAGCAUAUAAUUAGAUUAGAAAUUAUAUUGGAAUAAUUACAUCAUUUAAUGUAGGUCGGAGGUGGAGAAGGUACAAAUCAGUCAAACAAAUGUAAAAUUUUGAGGUACCUUCACUUUAUUGAUUUAACAUUUAGCUCUUAACUGCCCUAAACAUGUGAAAGUAAGGCUUAGACUAAUUCUUCUUUAUGCUUAAGACAUGGCUAGCUUUAGAUCUAAACGCUCUUCACUUCCAAUACACAAGUUCAAGUAGCUCAAUUAAAUUGAGCAAAAAUCCAAUAACAUUUAAUUUAGAAUAUUUUAAUCAAUCAAAUAAAAUAUUCUUUGAAUAAUUUGUCAGUGGCAUCAGUUUGAUUGAAAGCGCGUGUAGAGAAUCUUUGCAUGUUUAAUAGCACGCAACAAUUUUUUUUAUUUUUAUGUCAGGUAAAAUAAUUCUUGAAAUUUAUAUAUGUAUAUGAGACACACACACACACACACGCAUUCAAAAUAUUCUGCUGCUUCUGUGAUUGGAUGCUGUUGGCUUUAAAUGUCUACAUGGCAGAAGCGAAGCUAGGAAAACCAAAACGCAAGCAUUCUAGAAAUGACAACAGAAAUUUUGCUAACCCUCCCAGCCACGUGCCCCUCUGUUGACAUUUCGCCCAUCUCUCAGACGUACAUACAUACAUAUAUACACGCGCUGCCAGAUUUUUGCUAAAGAAAAAACUAAUCCCCUUGGCACGCGGCGGCGACACUUCCAAGAAGCAAAAAUUCGCAGCAAACAAAGUCAAAGAGGAACCCAAAAGUGGGUUGGGACUUCUCGGAGCUCGGAGCUCGCAACUCGAAGCUCGGCACUGACACAAGGACACACAGGACGCACGAAUCCCGAACAUACUAUGGACAUUUGGGCGACUGGGCUGGGCGCGGCAGGGUAGGGCAGGGUUGGGUAGUAAAAGCGUACCGUUAUACAAACAUUACAUAAAAAUAUUAAAUUUAUGAUGCAAUAAAAAAAGAGUGUUAAAAGGGAGAGAGCUGCAAGAGAACAGCGAGAGGGGUGAACCGAAAGCAGGAGGCGAGGCAAUGUCAGCAUGCGUGUUGGAAGGGUACGUGACUUAGACGUGGGUUCAGGCCUGUCCAUGGGUUUGUUGCCUCUUGGCUGCGACUCGUUGGCAAAGUGGAAACAAAUUAAAGAAAAAUGCGCUUCAUGAAAAUUGGACAAAGCUAAAGAACAUUUCCAUACAUCAGCCGUGACACAAACGACCCGACACAAGUGAUCAACUGGACCGACCAACCGGUCCGGCCUAUCCCAAAAUGAUCUCUCAUCAUGCAAAAAAAGAAAAAGUGGAAAACAAUAUCAAUGGUAACUGUUUUUAGUUAAGCCCUCACGUCAAUGUUAAUAAAGGGAUGGCAGUCACACAAUGAGACAAACCAAGGGUUGCUCCUGGGCCGGGGGUUGUCUGUGCGGAGACACAGAGAAAGAGAGCGAGAGAGGGAGAGAGAGGACGAACAGCAGCAGGGUGAAGUGGCAAGCAACUCUCUCACGUACAAUUUGUGUCUGUUGUCUGCUCUUAGGCAAAAACUGUCACACGCCGUCGGCUUACUUUGACUUUUGACAGGCCAAAGUUGUGCGAAUCCAUAGUCUGGGGCUUUUGCGCUUCGAAUCAACGUCUGGCUGGCAAUUAUAUAUGUGAGCACGUGCCAGCCGAAGCUGAGGGCACAUCAAUUUGAUUGGUUGUGCAAAAUUUUCAUUAUUCUUAAUA
Long non-coding RNA from Drosophila mojavensis, 2766 nucleotides. RefSeq lists it as uncharacterized. The transcript is spliced from 3 exons. The record is from RefSeq and is a predicted model, not a curated record. Lineage: Eukaryota; Metazoa; Arthropoda; Insecta; Diptera; Drosophilidae.